GAUGAACGCUGGCGGCGUGCCUAAUACAUGCAAGUCGAGCGAACGGACGAGAAGCUUGCUUCUCUGAUGUUAGCGGCGGACGUGUGAGUAACACGUGGAUAACCUACCUAUAAUACUUGGAUAACUUCGUGAAACCGGAUCUAAUACCGGAUAAUAUUUUGAACCGCAUGGUUCAAAAGUGAAAGACGGUCUUUCUGUCACUUAUAGAUGUAUCCUCGCUGCAUUAGCUAGUUGGUAAGGUAACGGCUUACCAAGGCAACGAUGCAUAGCGGACCUGAGAGGGUGAUCGGCCACACGGGAACUGAGACACGGUACAGAGUCCUACGGGAGGCAGCAGUAGGGAAUGUUCCGCAAUGGGCGAAAGCCUGACGGAGCAACGCCGCGUGAGUGAUGAAGGUCUUCGGAUCGUAAAACUCUGUUAUUAGGGAAGAACAUAUGUGUAAGUAACUGUGCACAUCUUGACGGUAACUAAUCAGAAAGCAACGGCUAACUACGUG
RNAcentral lists this ribosomal RNA (497 nucleotides) under uncultured bacterium. RNAcentral describes it as "partial 16S ribosomal RNA". It matches the Rfam family "Bacterial small subunit ribosomal RNA", at positions 28 to 507 of the family's 1533-position model. The record is from RNAcentral.